RNAcentral lists this ribosomal RNA (492 nucleotides) under uncultured bacterium. RNAcentral describes it as "partial 16S ribosomal RNA". It matches the Rfam family "Bacterial small subunit ribosomal RNA", at positions 29 to 507 of the family's 1533-position model. The record is from RNAcentral.
AGUGAACGCUGGCGGUAUGCCUAACACAUGCAAGUCGAACGGCAGCACAGUAAGAUCUUGCUCUUACGGGUGGCGAGUGGCGGACGGGUGAGGAAUACAUCGGAAUCCACUUUUUCGUGUGGGAUAACGUAGGGAAACUUACGCUAAUACCGCAUACGACCUACGGUUGAAAGCAGUGGAUCUUCGCACCUUGCGCGAUUGAAUUAGCCGAUGACGGAUUAGCUAGUUGGCGGGGUAAAGGCCCACCAAGGCGACGAUCCGUAGCUGGACUGAGAGGAUGAUCAGCCACACUGGAAGUGAGACACGGUCCAGACUCCUACGGGAGGCAGCAGUGGGGAAUAUUGGACAAUGGGCGCAAGCCUGAUCCAGCCAUACCGCGUGGGUGAAGAAGGCCUUCGGGUUGGAAAGACCUUUUGUUGGGAAAGAAAAGCAGCAGGUUAAUACCCCGCUGUUCUGACGGUACCCAAAGAAUAAGCACCGGCUAACUUCGUG